AUAUCUCAAUUACAGUUUUCCAUUUCUCCUUUUUCUUUUCCGUG
Molecule: non-coding RNA, 44 nt
Filed under: Plasmodium falciparum 3D7
Lineage: Eukaryota; Apicomplexa; Aconoidasida; Haemosporida; Plasmodiidae
Source: RNAcentral